AUGACUGUGAAUGACGACGACGAGUCGUGAAGAUAGUGAAGAAUUUGUACGCGGCGGUACGCGGGCGUACAUAACCUCGGUCCUUAUGGCAUCGCGAAUGUAGAGUAUAGGAUAUUUAUUCAAGUAAAGGAGGAAUUAGGGUUCCGAUUAUACAAAUUACAAUAAACAAAUUAAAGUAAUUAAAUAGAUUUAAAAUGAGUGGACAGAAAUUUCAGUACGACGAAAGUGGCGGAACGUUUUUUUACUUCCUUCUAUCAUUCUUGGCUCUGCUACUGGUACCUGGGACAUACUAUUUGUGGCCACGUCGGCCGAAACAAGAUCCUGAACUUCUGUCGAGAGAAUGCCAAUGCGAUGGAUGUAAAAAGAAAAAGAUCAUCCUGCAAUCAAGCGAGCCUUGGAAAGAAACUAAAGCGUUACUCACGAAAUCCCUCAUCAUCCUUGGCUGGGUCAUUCUUUUAUUAUUGGCAUAUAAAGUUUCCCAGUUUGACUACGAGAUGGCAAACUUUGAUCCAUUUGAAAUUUUGGGAGUUCCAUCGGGGUCGUCACAAAGUGAAAUCAAAAAAGCUUACAGAAAAUUAUCACUGAUCCUCCAUCCAGACAAAGAAACUGGAAAUGAAAAGGCAUUUAUGAAAUUAACCAAAGCCUAUCAGGCCUUGACUGACGAUGAAGCGAGAAAAAAUUGGGAAAAAUAUGGAAAUCCGGAUGGACCCGGCGCUAUGAGUUUCGGAAUAGCUCUGCCGUCGUGGAUCGUAGAAAAAGAAAACUCGGUUUGGGUACUAGGGCUGUAUGCUCUUGUAUUUAUGGUCGCAUUACCAACUGUCGUUGGAAUGUGGUGGUACCGAAGUAUCCGAUAUUCUGGUGACCAGGUGCUGCUGGAUACCACACAACUGUAUUAUUUCUUCUUCCAUAAAACCCCUUCCAUGACAUUAAAACGGGUAAUUAUGAUUCUGGCUGCAUCUUAUGAAUUCUACAAAGGGCGUAACAACGAAAUUGUAGAAAGACCAGGUGACAAUGAAGAGGUUCCUGCUCUUAUAAAGCAGAUUAGUAAUCUAGGAGCUAAGAACAAAGAGAGACCCUUGUGCUACCUUUAUUCACUUAAAGCAAGAGCAUUACUUCAUGCUCAUUUAUCUCGGAUGCCAUUGAAUCCGGAAACAUUAGAGAAAGACCGUCAAUAUAUUGUUAAAAAGUGUCCUUACCUCAUACAAGAAAUGGUUACUUGCGUCAAUCAGUUGAUAUUAUUAGCGUAUGCCAGACGUAUUCAACGAUUACCGAGUAUUGAAACUAUUGAAAACUGCAUGAAGUUGUGCCCCAUGAUUGUACAAGGAUUUUGGGAAUUUAGAAAUCCUCUUCUUCAAUUGCCCCAUAUUACAGACGAUAAUCUUAAGUACUUCCUUGCAAAAAAGCGUCAAAUCAAAAGUCUCCAACAGUUUGCGCAGUUGAAGGGGGAAGAGAGGCGUCAGAUUCUUAGAGCUCUGACUGAUAGUCAAUAUGAAGAUAUCAUGAAAGUUCUUGGCAGUAUGCCGUAUAUUGAAUUCAAAGUUCGCUCAGAAGUCAUCGACGAUGAGAACCCAACUGUAUAUACAGCCGGAGCCAUAGUGACAGUCACCGUGUCUCUCACACGUAAGGAUAUGAAACACUUGUUUGGUGACAAUACUGUGAAGGAACAAACGAUAAUCGAUGAUAGCAAAUCUGGUGCUGCUGGAGAAGGAAAUGAAGAGCCUGUAGAAGAAGAGAAUCAAACUCUUAAGAAACCUGCAUGGGUGAGGCAAAGAAAGGGUCCUAAAAAGUCGAACAAAAAAGGUUCAAAUAAGAAAGCACCAUCACAGAAGGCGGUGCCCGUUCAAGCGCAAGCAACGGUAACUUCGGCUCAACAAAACAAUACGCCAAAUGCCAGGAGAAAGGAUGAAGCUAAAGCAGAAAAAGACCCAAAUAAGGAGGGCGUUUCAGAUGCUAGUGACACUGAAUUGGAUUCGGAAAGAAGUGAUGACGAAGAAAGUUCUCACGAUAAAAAGGACUCUGCGGUUGAUGAUGACGAUACUGAAUGGGAGAGAUUUCAGCAGAAAAUUUCAAAGCGUGAAAAGAUUCUAGAGGGCAGAAGCAAGCUCUCGCACGAAGUGCAUUGCCCUUUGUUCCCAGAAGCAAAGCAGGAAUAUUGGUGGGUUUACAUUUGUGAUCGUAAAAGUCAUACUCUGCUCACCGCACCUGUCCACGUGACAUCAUUGGCAACUUUUGAAGAGGUGCAGCUGCGGUUUACCGCACCUCGCUGGCCAGGUCUAUACACCUUCACUGUAUGCCUGCGCAGUGAUUCCUACAUUGGCUUUGAUCAAGCUCAAGACAUUAAACUGGACGUGAAAGAAGCACCAGAGAUACCAACAGAGCACCCACAAUGGGACAUAUCUGACGAAGAAACAGCGGAGGAUGUCGAUGCUGGUGAUGAACAUUCCGAAUUUACGACCGAUGAAGACAUCAGUGACAAUGAAUAAAGCUCAUGAUUUUCAUUACACUAGUAAAUUGAGAUUAUCCUCAUUUGUUCCACUGCCGUUUUAUUCAGCAUUGCGUAUGCUGCUAAAAUUCCACGCACUCAUGUUCCAAAACGAGUACGGGAUAAAGUGACUAAAAUGGAUGCCCCGGUUUACACAUUUGUCAAGACCGACAAGAAAGCAAACAUCAAGUGGGGUGUACGGCAUUAUCUGCCCCGUAAAAACUAAUAUUAAU
This 2715-nucleotide unclassified non-coding RNA is filed under the name Neodiprion lecontei (redheaded pine sawfly). Its description in RNAcentral is "translocation protein SEC63 homolog, transcript variant X2". Lineage: Eukaryota; Metazoa; Arthropoda; Insecta; Hymenoptera; Diprionidae. The record is from RNAcentral.